Molecule: ribosomal RNA, 460 nt
Filed under: uncultured bacterium
Lineage: Bacteria
Description: partial 16S ribosomal RNA
Rfam family: Bacterial small subunit ribosomal RNA
Source: RNAcentral
CCUACGGGAGGCAGCAGUGAGGAAUAUUGGUCAAUGGACGAGAGUCUGAACCAGCCAAGUAGCGUGAAGGAUGACUGCCCUAUGGGUUGUAAACUUCUUUUAUAUGGGAAUAAAACGUUCCACGUGUGGGAUUUUGUAUGUACCAUAUGAAUAAGGAUCGGCUAACUCCGUGCCAGCAGCCGCGGUAAUACGGAGGAUCCGAGCGUUAUCCGGAUUUAUUGGGUGUAAAGGGAGCGUAGGUGGAUUGUUAAGGCAGUUGUGAAAGUUUGCGGCUCAACCGUAAAAUUGCAGUUGAAACUGGCAGUCUUGAGUACAGUAGAGGUGGGCGGAAUUCGUGGUGUAGCGGUGAAAUGCUGAGAUAUCACGAAGAACUCCGAUUGCGAAGGCAGUUCACUGGACUGCAACUGACACUGAGGCUCGAAAGUGUGGGUAUCAAACAGGAUUAGAUACCCCAGUAGUC